Molecule: ribosomal RNA, 765 nt
Filed under: uncultured bacterium
Lineage: Bacteria
Description: bacterial SSU rRNA
Rfam family: Bacterial small subunit ribosomal RNA
Source: RNAcentral
UGAACGCUGGCGGCAGGCCUAACACCUAUAAAUCGAACGGAGUUAUAUUGUAGCUUGCUAUGGUAUCCCUUAAUGGCAGACGGGUGAGUAAUGUAUAGGAAUCUACCUAGUAGUACGGAAUAAUUGUUGGAAACGGCAACNAAUACCGUAUACGCCCUACGGGGGAAAAAUUUAUUGCUAUUAGAUGAGCCUAUAUUAGAUUAGCUAGUUGGUGGAGUAAUAGCCUACCAAGGCAAUGAUCUAUAGCUGAUCUGAGAGGAUGAUCAGCCACACUGGAACUGAGAUACGGUCCAGACUCCUACGGGAGGCAGCAGUGGGGAAUAUUGGACAAUGGGCGAAAGCCUGAUCCAGCCAUGCCGCAUGAGUGAAGAAGGCCUUUGGGUUGUAAAGCUCUUUUAGUGAGGAAGAUAAUGACGGUACUCACAGAAGAAGUCCUGGCUAACUCCGUGCCAGCAGCCGCGGUAAUACGGAGAGGGCUAGCGUUAUUCGGAAUUAUUGGGCGUAAAGGGCGCGUAGGCGGAUUAGUAAGUUAAAAGUGAAAUCCCAAGGCUCAACCUUGGAAUUGCUUUUAAAACUGCUAAUCUAGAGAUUGAAAGAGGAUAGAGGAAUUCCUAGUGUAGAGGUGAAAUUCGUAAAUAUUAGGAGGAACACCAGUGGCGAAGGCGUCUAUCUGGUUCAAAUCUGACGCUGAGGCGCGAAGGCGUGGGGAGCAAACAGGAUUAGAUACCCUGGUAAUCCACGCUGUUAACGAUGAAUGUUAAAUAU